Molecule: non-coding RNA, 527 nt
Filed under: Aptenodytes forsteri (emperor penguin)
Lineage: Eukaryota; Metazoa; Chordata; Aves; Sphenisciformes; Spheniscidae
Description: Bacterial small subunit ribosomal RNA
Rfam family: Bacterial small subunit ribosomal RNA
Source: Rfam by way of RNAcentral
ACUAUGCCUAGCCCUAAAUCUUGAUACUUCCACUACUAAAGUAUCCGCCUGAGAACUACGAGCACAAACGCUUAAAACUCUAAGGACUUGGCGGUGCCCCAGACCCACCUAGAGGAGCCUGUUCUAUAAUCGAUAACCCACGAUGCACCCAACCGCCCCUUGCCAGAGCAGCCUAUAUACCGCCGUCGCCAGCUCACCUCGCCUGAGAGCACAACAGUGAGCAUAAUAGCCCUAGCCACGCUAAUAAGACAGGUCAAGGUAUAGCCUAUGGGGCGGAAGAAAUGGGCUACAUUUUCUAAAGUAGACAAUUCCACGGAAGGGGACAUGAAAUCGUCCCUAGAAGGAGGAUUUAGCAGUAAAGCGGGACAAUAGUGCCCCCUUUAAGCUGGCCCUGAGGCACGUACAUACCGCCCGUCACCCUCCUCACAAGCUACACACGCCUGUAACUAACCCCCUUCAUCAGCUGAAGAUGAGGUAAGUCGUAACAAGGUAAGUGUACCGGAAGGUGCACUUAGCACAUCAGGACG